UUGAAUAUAAGAUCAUUAUCAUGCAUUAUAUAUUUAUGUUUAUAUUUAUAGAAAAAAAAAAUAAUCAGUUAUAAACUUAUAAUGACUGAGUGUUGGGUAAUUGACUAAUUAGUGCAUAGUUGGCCAGUUGCACACAAUAAGAUAGUAUUAAUUAAGUGAAAUAUUCUCAUAUUCAGAUGUAAGAUUACGAACACACUUAUUAAUCAAUUAAAAAAUUUCAAAAAUUCAAUUUUAACAAAGUUACAACUUAAAAGUGAAAAUUUAAAAGGGAAACAAAAAUAAAACAUUUAACUUAGUCAAAAUUUGUGGGAAACUCUUCCGCCCCAAAUGGCUAAAACUCCAAAAGUAUAGCGGGAAUACUCCCUCCAAAUUUCCACGAGCAAAGUGACUACAUUCUAAAAGACAAAAAACAAAAGUCAAAGUAAAACAAUAAGAAGAAAAAAAAUCUACAGCCCUAGAAUCUUUGUCAGCCGUUUUCAAUUUUUCAUUCUAUCCAUUACUCCAUUGAGUCUAGUCUCUCUCUUUUGUCUUCACUCUUCUCUAAUCUCUACACACUUCAUCUCAUUUUCCAUUCAAGCGUUUUUUUACUCAAGUGGCCUAGAAGAUUUCAUAUUCUCAGAAUCUCAGCAAUGGAUCAUAUUAGUUAUGACGAGUCUGUUAUUUCACCAGAGGGAACAGAGGAUGAGUAUACACUAGAGGAAGAAGCCAAUGUUCUUACACAAAGGAAGAAGCCAGUGAUCCUGAACUCACAGUUGAAAACUAUAAUGUGAGCACUAUGGAAUCUGGAAUUCCUCACGUUUGACAAGACGGAAUCUAGUGAUAAGAAAUAGAUGUCAAUUUGCAAACAUUGUCAGAAAGCAUCCUUCAUAACCGACCCCAUUAUGGAACCCAAAAUAUGAAAAGACAUCUUAGAAAAUGCAGUGCAUAUGAGAAAUAUAUGAAAAACCAAGGAGGAAAUGGUUCAAACAAAGGUAAAAUCUUUAACCAAAUUGUGUACAGAAAUCUGGUAGCUAAAGCCAUAAUAAAACAUGGGUAUGUUUUUACUUGGGUUGAACAUGAUGGUAAUAGAGAAAUUCAUGCAUAUUUAAGUGAUGAUGUAAAAUUCAUUUGUAUGAACACUACUAAAGCUGAUUGUUUAAAAAUGCAUAAAACUUUGAAGGCUCGAUUAAAGGAAACUCUUAGUAAAGUCUCUAGUCGUAUCUCAUUAACAUGUGACAUGUGGACAUCUUGUCAAACUGAGGUAUAUUUGUGAUUGACAGCUCACUAUGUGGAUGAUAAUUGGAAAUUAAUUAGUACAGUGCUUAACUUCAGCCGUAUUGAUUAACCACACACUAGAAAGACCAUGUAUGCUGCAGUGUUGUCCAUGCUUCAAUAUUGGGGUAUUGAUGAUAAGAUUUUUUGCUUCACUUUAGACAAUGCCUCUAGUAAUGAUAGAAUGCAAGAUUAUUUGAAGGAAACUCUACUUGCACAAGAUGGUUUGUUAUAUAAUGGUGAGUUAUUUCAUGUACAAUGUGCUGCACAUGUAUUAAAUCUCAUUGUUAAAGAUGGACUUAAGGUCAUUGAACAUAUAGUUGAGAAAGUAAGACAUUGUGUGAAGAAGGUAAAAUAUUCUGAAACAAGAAAAAAGACUUUUCAAUCUUGUGUAAGUCUAGCUAAGAUAAAAGAAACAAAAUCAUUAUGGCUUGAUGUUCCUACGAGGUGGAACUCUACGUACAUGAUGCUUGAUAGGGCUAUUUUAUAUCGUGAGGCUUUUAGGGAGAUGUCUGAAGUUCAAAAAUGGUGUCCUUACCUCUAAACAGUGGGAUGUUCUUGAGAAGAUUCGAGAUGUUUUAGAACCCUUCCAUGAGAUAACUGAGAUAUUUUCGGGAAUUGAGUAUCCUACCUCAAAUCUUUAUUUUGGGAAUGUUUGGAAGAUUUUUCAUGCUUUUGAUAGAGUUGGAGCACGAUGAUGAUGACGUUUUGAGGAUAAUGGCUAUAGAAAUGAAGAGCAAGUUUGAUAAGUAUUGGUUUAACUCGGAAUAAGAUGACUAUGGCAUGUUAUUUGCAUUUGCUAUGAUUCUUGAUCCUCGUUGUAAAAUAUCUGUGCUAAAGUUUUGUUACCAAAACAUAUUUGGAGAUGUAGAGGCUACCUUGAGAGUUAGUGAUCUCCAUCUUAAGUUGGAGAAAUUUUAUAAGCUAUAUGCCCAUAUUGGAACAUCAUCGACAUUGAACAACACUGAUAUGGCAUAUUUCUCACAGUCCGAAGCCUCCAUAAGCAGCACUUCAACUAGAAACCGCAAGCAAAAAUACGACUAUUUUGCGAUGAUUUUUCUUCUGUUAUUUCAAUCCUUUUGAUUAUCCUUCAUUCUAAUCUAUUGAUUAGACUAUUUUCUACAUAUUUGUCUUUUGUUUUCUUGUGUUUAGUUUAUUUUUUCUGUCAAUUACUGGUUUUUUAAAGAUUUUCUGUACAUUUGUAUUGCACAAUUGUCAGAAUAAAUUGAUGUGUUUGUGUGUAACUGACUGUCCCUUGAGAAGAAUUUUAUUUCUUUGUUGCUGAACUAUGAAAAGGCUGCUUUAGAUGCAUCUUUAAAUGACCUUUCCUAGUAUAAUCUGUCUGGCUUCUCACAUUCUGGUUCCGUCUUCUUCUCAGUUUCUUCAUUAAGUUGUAUAUUGUAGUUUUGUAGAUAGAGAGGCAUUAACUAAUUACAUAUACAUAGUCUGACAUCUGAAUGAAUAUAUAAGAUGGUUCAUAGUCUAACAUCUGAAUGAAUAUAUAAGAUGGGUCAUAGUCUAACAUCUGAAUGAAUAUAUAAGAUAGUUCAUAGUUUGACUCGUGUUGAAUUAAGAAAUACGAUAAUAAAGAGGCCUAAUUUCUUUUGGUGAGAGGUCAAUAUUAGAUGUUACCUUGAGGACCCUAAACUAGAUCGAAAAGCGGAGCUUGACAUAUUAGCUUUUUGGAAAGAAAGUGAACAUCGAUAUAAAGGCCUUUCUCAUUUGGCUAGAGAUAUUUUGGCCGUGCCCCUAACAACCAUUGCUUCGGAAUCAACUUUCAGCAUUGGGAGUCGAGUGUUGAAUAAAUGGAAAAGUUCAUCGAUUCCUGAAAAUGUGGAGGCUUUAAUAACAACUCGUAGUUGGAUGUACUCUUUUGAAACAAAUGAGGCUGAUGGAUUUUUUGGCUCUUAUGUGGAUUGGGCGACGGCUCCAACAAUUUGAUGUCAACAAUUUUAAGAGUGGAAUAUUGGAGUAUAAUUUUUUAGAAUAUUAGAUUGGUUGCUAUUUUGCCUAUCAGACCUUGUAAUUUCAUUUGGUAUUGAACAUUAUGUUACGUAUGUGUUAUUAUUGUAUUAUUUUUUUUCCCGGACUUAUGAGAUUGUGACUUUUACUUCAAGCUUUAGUAAAUUUUUUCUUAA
Chenopodium quinoa (quinoa) is the source of this 3389-nucleotide long non-coding RNA. RefSeq lists it as uncharacterized. Lineage: Eukaryota; Viridiplantae; Streptophyta; Magnoliopsida; Caryophyllales; Amaranthaceae. The record is from RefSeq and is a predicted model, not a curated record. The transcript is spliced from 3 exons.